AUGAAUAUAAGGAUAUUUAUUACUGCAAACUCGAAGGCUAAUACUUGUCACCAUGCUGAUUCUUGGUCUCCACCACAUCUCCACCACCCCUGGGCUUUGAGGCACUAUCCAUAGGAGAUGCUGCUGCACUUUGAAGCAGUACGGACUGGAAGCUGCAGUUUUACAAGAUCCUAUCUACAGCAAGAGAUGAAAGAGAUCUUGCAAGGGUACCCGGGUGUUCCUAUUGCAAAUGCUGUGCUUGGAGCUCACAAAUAAAGGACAAGGAAAAGAAAAGGCUUUGAACAAAAAUUCACAUGAUGUAGCUGUAAUUAACUGCUACAAGUACUUGCAGAAUGCAUGUGCAAGAAUGAGAUGAUACCCACUUGCUCAGACAGACAGGAUAUCCUAUACAAUCCAAGGUAAGAAGUCGUCCAGGAUAAAGGCUAUUUUACAAAUGUCUAGCAAGAAAAAGACUAAUAAUCUCUUUCUCCUUUACGUCUUCCUGUUAAAUAUACUCUACCUUUUCAAACCUCUGAGCAAGUAUCUGAAGGACAUCAAGCCUGCGCCAGUUGUGAGGAAUUAAUUGAACAUACAAAGGGAUUGUGCUGUGUACAACAUCACAAUUAACUUAGUCGUUAAAUAGGUAAUAGCACUUGACUGUUAAAUGGUGAAGGAAUGUGUUUGCUAAAUGAAUUUUGCUACUUGUUUAAAGGAUAUGGUUUAGGGUCUCAUUAAAUAAUGAUGUCACCAGGAAAGGCUGGAUUGCAAAUCCUGCCCUUUCUCCUGGCUCAGAGACCUUCAUCUCACAGAAUCAAAGAAUCUCAUUCCCAGAGAAUUUGAAUGAGAAGAUGUAUUUUCUCAGAUUUGAUGCACUGUUGGCCACAGCUAUGCAGAGAAUAAGCCAUCCACAACCAGAUGAAAUCUGCAAGUAUGAUAUCCUAAGAAAUCAGGGAAAGGUGUUUUCUUUCAUUCUCCAGUAAAUAAAGUUUCAGAUCUCUUUAAAUGAUUUGAGAUAUCAAACAUACUUCUCAGAAAAAUCAACAGAAGCAUCAUGUUCCUCAAAGUCAUACUUUUGUUUGUUCUUCCAUUCCAGAAGUUUCCUUAACAAGGAUAAUCAAGCUUUGACAGGAUUGUGCUCUGAAAUGUCAGUGCUGUUUAUCUUUUGCUCUUGACUUCAACAGUAUGAUCUAAAUUUUCAGAUCUUGAUCUAUGGGAAUCAUAAAUCAUGGGAAACAGGUACCUAAAGAAUUGAAUAGUAAGUUUCACUUUGUUUUCAAGGUAGUCUAGUAUUAGAUAUGGAGGUUGGUGGCCUUGCCUGCAGCAGGGCAGGUUGGAG
Molecule: long non-coding RNA, 1315 nt
Organism: Centrocercus urophasianus (Greater sage-grouse)
Lineage: Eukaryota; Metazoa; Chordata; Aves; Galliformes; Phasianidae
Exons: 3
Source: RefSeq, a predicted model, not a curated record